RNAcentral lists this transfer RNA (77 nucleotides) under Promethearchaeota archaeon. RNAcentral's name for it is "Candidatus Lokiarchaeota archaeon tRNA-Met". It matches the Rfam family "tRNA". Rfam says of the family: Transfer RNA (tRNA) molecules are approximately 80 nucleotides in length. Their secondary structure includes four short double-helical elements and three loops (D, anti-codon, and T loops). Further hydrogen bonds mediate the characteristic L-shaped molecular structure. tRNAs have two regions of fundamental functional importance: the anti-codon, which is responsible for specific mRNA codon recognition, and the 3' end, to which the tRNAs corresponding amino acid is attached (by aminoacyl-tRNA synthetases). tRNAs cope with the degeneracy of the genetic code in two manners: having more than one tRNA (with a specific anti-codon) for a particular amino acid; and 'wobble' base-pairing, i.e. permitting non-standard base-pairing at the 3rd anti-codon position. Lineage: Archaea; Promethearchaeati; Promethearchaeota. The record is from RNAcentral.
GGGCCUGUAGAUCAGUGGAAGUUAUGAACCUUGUAUUCAUGCUCAAGAGGUCACGGGUUCAAUUCCCGUCAGGUCCA